This 203-nucleotide ribosomal RNA is filed under the name uncultured bacterium. RNAcentral describes it as "partial 16S ribosomal RNA". It matches the Rfam family "Bacterial small subunit ribosomal RNA", at positions 1298 to 1500 of the family's 1533-position model. The record is from RNAcentral.
UUGUAGUCUGCAACUCGACUACAUGAAGCUGGAAUCGCUAGUAAUCGCGGAUCAGAAUGCCGCGGUGAAUACGUUCCCGGGUCUUGUACACACCGCCCGUCACACCAUGGGAGUCGGGAAUGCCCGAAGCCAAUGACCCAAGCGAGAGCAGGGAGCUGUCGAAGGCAGGCCGGAUAACUGGGGUGAAGUCGUAACAAGGUAUC